GCAGCCUGCAACUCGGCUGCAUGAAGCUGGAAUCGCUAGUAAUCGCGGAUCAGAAUGCCGCGGUGAAUACGUUCCCGGGUCUUGUACACACCGCCCGUCACACCGUGGGAGUAGGUAAUGCCCGAAGUCGGUGACCUAACCGGAAGGAAGGAGCCGCCGAAGGCAGGACUUAUAACUGGGGUGAAGUCGUAACAAGGUAGC
Molecule: ribosomal RNA, 201 nt
Filed under: uncultured bacterium
Lineage: Bacteria
Description: partial 16S ribosomal RNA
Rfam family: Bacterial small subunit ribosomal RNA
Source: RNAcentral